This 483-nucleotide long non-coding RNA is filed under the name Homo sapiens (human). RNAcentral's name for it is "non-protein coding lnc-CRYBA4-52:54". Lineage: Eukaryota; Metazoa; Chordata; Mammalia; Primates; Hominidae. The record is from RNAcentral.
CCGGAAGUCAGAAAGCGGAGCCUUUCUUACACCGGAAGUCAAUGAAGCGGGUCUUUCCUACGCUAAAAACCACUGAGUGGAGUAUUUAGUACACAGGAAGUCGGCCAGAGAAACAUUUCUCAUAUUUGAAGGCCGGAAAGAGGGACAUUUCUGACACCGGAAGUCAGUGAGAGGACUCUUUCCCACACAGGAAGUCAGCUAGAGAGCCGUCUCCCCUCUCUGGAGCCGAGAGAGGCCGGUUUCCCCCACCGUAGCCCACCUGGGAGGAAUUUUCCAGAGAUCACUGUCUGAUGACCCUGUCUUGGAAUUGGAGCCAUGCAAGUUACACUGACCACGUUUGGGUUGGGAUAUUGAGGAGGUUAUGGUUAAAAGCAUACGAUGGGAGAUCAUAUUGUACUUGCGAGUGAGACCCGGCUGGAGGAAUGUUUUAAUUCUUCGGAAAUACCAAGUGGUCUCUGUAAGUAACAUAGGGUGGUUAGCCAA